AAAUUUAUUUAGGAUGUUGAGAGGUUUGAAAUUUAAUUUCAGUUCUAUCAUGCUUUUGGUAAUUUUCACGCCUGGCAAUCAUUUCAUCCUGUGAUUUAGAGAGUGCGGAUGCAUAGACGUUUUUAUGAAAGUCCGUUGGAUCCCACAUAUCCUUAGAUAUCAUAGUUCCUCUUGGCUCCUUAAUAUCCAGAAAAUCCUGCAAAUUAUCAAGUAACUUUGGGUUUCUGAAAUUUUCAUUUUCUGAUAGUCUCGUAUGAAAAUGAAUGCCCUUUGCCUUUAAUUUUAUAAAUUGCUUUAUCUUUUUCUCCAGCUCUGUGUCAACUUCAGCUUUAGGAGAAUUUGGGAUUUUCCAAUGGGGUUCCUCAGAACGUCCUUUAAUAUCAUUGUUUUCAUUUACUAACGAAGUUUGUUCCUCUUCCUCUGAGUCGUAGGCUACCAAAGACAUAACUCUUAAAACUCAAAGCAUUUAAAGUAGAUAGAUAGUGUACGGUAGAAGCAAAUUAAGUAUUGUGCAACCAUAGUGGUUGCAAAAUAUAUAGGUUUGCUAUUAUCAUCCAAAAGAUGCAGACUUUUUAAUUUCCUUAAUUAAAACCUAGGAAAGGUAAUUUAUAAAUGCAUCUACUGGUUGUUUGUUAACAAGUGUAAAAACCUAUAGUUGGACUAGGAGUACAUUGCUCGUUCAUUUUGAGGUACAAAUCACUUUUUAAUUACCAUAUGAUAAAUCCGUUUUU
Molecule: non-coding RNA, 731 nt
Organism: Schizosaccharomyces pombe (fission yeast)
Lineage: Eukaryota; Fungi; Ascomycota; Schizosaccharomycetes; Schizosaccharomycetales; Schizosaccharomycetaceae
Source: the annotation of a GenBank genome assembly